Molecule: ribosomal RNA, 325 nt
Filed under: uncultured Pseudomonadota bacterium
Lineage: Bacteria; Pseudomonadati; Pseudomonadota
Description: bacterial SSU rRNA
Rfam family: Bacterial small subunit ribosomal RNA
Source: RNAcentral
AACGAACGCUGGCGGCAUGCCUAACACAUGCAAGUCGAACGAAGCCUUCGGGCUUAGUGGCGCACGGGUGCGUAACGCGUGGGAAUCUGCCCUUGGGUUCGGAAUAACAGUUAGAAAUGACUGCUAAUACCGGAUGAUGUCUUCGGACCAAAGAUUUAUCGCCCAAGGAUGAGCCCGCGUAGGAUUAGGUAGUUGGUGGGGUAAUGGCCCACCAAGCCGACGAUCCUUAGCUGGUCUGAGAGGAUGAUCAGCCACACUGGGACUGAGACACGGCCCAGACUCCUACGGGAGGCAGCCUGAGAGCCAAGGCACACAGGGGAUAGGG